GCCUGACUGGCUCAGUGGGUACAGCGUGUGGCUCUUGUUCUCGGGGUUGUGGGUUCAAGCCCCAUGUUGGGUG
This 73-nucleotide transfer RNA is filed under the name Ailuropoda melanoleuca (giant panda). It matches the Rfam family "tRNA". From Rfam's summary of the family: Transfer RNA (tRNA) molecules are approximately 80 nucleotides in length. Their secondary structure includes four short double-helical elements and three loops (D, anti-codon, and T loops). Lineage: Eukaryota; Metazoa; Chordata; Mammalia; Carnivora; Ursidae. The record is from Rfam by way of RNAcentral.